UAUUUCUUCACUUUUCCUUAGGGUGUCCACAUCAGGACCCUGAGGCCAUCUUACCACCCUUCUGGAUCAGAAGAGGCCUUCAGACCCAGUGUCUACCGACCUUCAAACUACAACAGAGCUUUCAGGAGAAUGCGGAGAGACGGCUUCCCACCCGGACCUCACCAGAAACCCGCACACCCCAGCCACAUUGCUCCUCUUUCAGCCAGAAAGGACUCCAACUCCACCACUGGGAGGCCCCCCUUCCUGGUGCUGGGCAGUUGCAGAGGCUGUUCAUGGCAUCCCACAGGUGGCGACUGCCCCCCACCCUCCUUCUAGCACUUUAGAGGGUACCUCUGUGGCAGACACCAUGGCUAGGUUUCUCUUUCCAACUCCUGUUGGUCUGGCAAGUGACAGAUCAUCUUCACUACAUUAAUCAGUAGUCACCCGAACAUCCCUAUACUGUCCCCCAAUUCCUUUCAGCACCAGCUGCCUCCCCGAUUGGAAUUGUUCAAUAUGGAACUAGAUUAAAUUGAAGACUUGCCCUUUAGUUUUUAA
Molecule: long non-coding RNA, 534 nt
Organism: Pongo pygmaeus (Bornean orangutan)
Lineage: Eukaryota; Metazoa; Chordata; Mammalia; Primates; Hominidae
Exons: 2
Source: RefSeq, a predicted model, not a curated record